CCCUUCAUUCCACCGGAAUCUGUCUAUACAGAAACCAGAUUUCAGUGAAAUGAAGCCUG
RNAcentral lists this microRNA precursor (59 nucleotides) under Columba livia (rock pigeon). RNAcentral describes it as "Cli-Mir-205-P2_pre stem-loop". It matches the Rfam family "mir-205 microRNA precursor family", at positions 11 to 65 of the family's 75-position model. The record is from RNAcentral. Lineage: Eukaryota; Metazoa; Chordata; Aves; Columbiformes; Columbidae.